This is a long non-coding RNA of Papaver somniferum (opium poppy), 2969 nucleotides long. RefSeq lists it as uncharacterized. The record is from RefSeq and is a predicted model, not a curated record. Lineage: Eukaryota; Viridiplantae; Streptophyta; Magnoliopsida; Ranunculales; Papaveraceae. The transcript is spliced from 6 exons.
AGAAACGGGACUAGUUCCUUUUAUUUUCUUCACCCGAAACUGAUGACGGCUUCAUUACCGAUCUGAGAAACCGGUGAGGAGAUGCAGAAAUUCGGAGAUGAAAUUGGUGGCAAUGAAACAAGUCGUUGCUUCUAAUGGAAGAAUCAAGAGAUGGGGUUUGGUUGAUUAGGGUUUUGGUUCAAAUCUGGAUCAACGAUGGUUUGUGUUUGAGCUAUUGGAUUCCAUUCAAUUUUGCUAAGAAUGGAAUCCACGCUAUUCUUUUUGUUUUGUCGAUUUAGAAUCGUUUCUCGAAAGAAGAAGAAGAAGAAGCUGUUAGAAAUUUACAGAUUCUAUUCGGAGAAUUUUUUUAAUUACAUGAUUGUUGUGUUUACUCAUGGUGAUCUCUUCAAAAGAGAUGGCAACAACGCAUUAAUUGAUCGUUUGUGGAUCGCAAGGCCCAUGAACCCUUAAAGGAAUUGACCCGUCUGUGUAAAAACCGAUUGUUUCUUUUUGAUAAUGUGACUGCAGAUAGGAGUAAGCGGGCCAAACAAGUCCAGCGACUGAUUUCACUUGUACAUUUAGUCCCAAAAGAGAAUGGUAGAUAUGGUUGUAUGCAGAUACUGAAUUGAUGACACAGUAAACAUUCUUCUAAGAAAUGACAGUAAUUGAGAUGGUUACUGUGGGAUUAAUUGGUUUGAUUUGCAGACUAAUUGAAGACGAUGCUCAGAUGGACAUAGAGGAGCAAUUUCUAAUGGAGAAGCUUGUUAUUUCUUCUAAUAGGUUGGUCUAGUACAUGAAACUCUAGUCAGGCCAGAAGUAAUCCCUGCAAAUGGUAUUGGAAUCACAUUUCUGAAAGUACUUUGUUAUUUUCUUGGGCAGUCUGUGUCUCUUUGGCGUGACUAUCUAAAAUAUGUGGAAGAGCAUGAUCCAGCAGUCCAAGACUUCUCACCAGAAGGUCUCUCAAAGAUGAGAAACCUAUAUGAGCGUGCCCUUACUGCUGCUGGAUUACAUGUCACGGAAGGCAAGAAAAACUGGGAAGCGUAUAGAGAGUUCGAGAAUAAUUUGAUCACUACCCAUCAUGAAGAAAACACCGAUGUUAGGUUUCUUUAAACAGAAUGCGUUGGAUUGGUUGUUUUCUCCCCUAUACCAUGGAGAUUUGAUUCUAUGCACUUGUUUUUUAUGUUUAGGUUUCUUGCCUCGCAUGCUGUUUGGCAAGUUACAAAAUGUCAAGAUGUACUGUUUUAUUGGAUUGUAGAAAAAUAAUGGCUUUUGACGAAACUUCCUUAAGCUUACAGUUAUGGCUUUAUUUAAUUCCUCGCAUUUGGAUCUUAGACUGGCUCUGAACUUUAGAUUCCAGUCAUCGUGUCUGUUUCUUUUUGCACUGCGAAAAAAGGUGGGAAACAAUGUUGGUCAGGCAGCAUGUUUUUUUGUUAUUAAGGAUUCACGUAUUGAGGCUUUAAUGUUUUGUUUCUAAAGUUGUUAUAGCAUGCUACUACUUUGUUACUUUCCAUUACUUUUGUUUCUUAUUAUAUUCUGAAAGUAGUGUCUUAUUGUAUCUUAUAACCCUGCAGCGUCAAUUGGAGCAAGAAUGACGUAUUCGUAGUUUAUACCAGCGUCAAUUGUCUAUCCUACAUGCCGACUCAGAGUCCACACUUGUAUCAUACACGAAUUGGGAGUCUUUACAGCAACAGCAGAAAACAAGUAAUUCUGCCGAAUUGGAGGCUAUUCCUUCUGUUGUUGCUUCCGCACACGAAAAAUCCAUGGAGAUUUAUAACGCACGUCUCUAUCAUGAGGAGCAAAUUUCCAAGCAGGACAUGUCAGAGACAGAGAAGCUGAGAAGCUACAUGACGUACUUGAAAUUUGAGCAGUCUUGCACUAAGUGAGGUAAAAGAGUCACAACAGGAACUGGUAAUGCUUCCUCUACGAAGACCAGACUUGUUUAAAGGGGGGACUUUUAAAUCCUUGUAGAGGAAUAUUGUUGUUUGGUACUCCGGGUACUGAUAAGACAAUGCUCGCGAAGGCAAUAGCAAAUGAGGCAGGAGCAAUCUUCAUUAAUGUCUCUAUGCCGACCAUUACAUCCAAAUGGUUUUGUUUUGGUAGAGAACAGAGAAAUGAAAAAGGAUCUGAAGAAGGCGGAGGAAGGACAAAGCGCAGAAGAUACUUCAAAUCAAAAUGAAGGCAAUGAGGAAAGGACAAUUAACUUGAGGCCAUUGAACAUGGAUGGCAUGAAGCAGGCAAAGAAUCAGUUCAAUGCCUUAAGGCCCUUAACUUGAAAAAAUGGAGGAUCCUUCUGCUUGUAGUUCAAUCGAUUGAGAUCAGUCUCACGCGGUGGUGGCGGUGGUAGAGGUGGUGGUUAUGGUUGGUGGACGUAGAGACAAUUACAGAGAUGGAGAUUUUGGCCUGAUAGACAUCAACAUGGAGGAAACCGUUCACGCCCUUACUGAUGGAAUGUACACUGAUAAGCUUAUAUACCAAGAUAUGCGAAGUAUAAUGCAUCCUUUUUGUUGGAGUUGUUCGUUCCAAGAGGAGACAAAGAGGUAUGUGAGCAAUCCUUUUUGUUUACUAGAAUGCAGCGAACUGCACCACAUAAGCAUGGCCAACACAAAGAAAAAUAUUGACCGUGGUCCCUCCACCACCUAAAUCAGUGAUUUUGCAACUUAGCUUACAUUGUUUUCAAAUGGCAAAGAUCUGGUGUACAAUCUCCUAUACGUUCAAGAGAAUCAGCUCCAAUACAGACACCGCCCGUCGUUGCGCCUUGGUGCCAAGAUAUUCUCAGGUUGGCCACGGAAUGUCAAGUGAGACUUCAUGGAGUUAUGGCAUCAGCAACGGAAUAGUUACGGUGAGACUUUUCAUUGCAUAUGAUAUGUGUUGGCGUCCAUCAUUCAGGCUCUCAGCUAAACUACAUUGUAAAUUAUUGAUAUUGUAGUUUCACAAGUAAGAAUGGUUAUAAUAAUUUGCAGUCUCGAGAUCGAAGACUGGUUUAAGUGUUU